Molecule: ribosomal RNA, 531 nt
Filed under: uncultured bacterium
Lineage: Bacteria
Description: bacterial SSU rRNA
Rfam family: Bacterial small subunit ribosomal RNA
Source: RNAcentral
CGUGGGUGAUCUGCCCUGCACUUCGGGAUAAGCUUGGGAAACUGGUCUAAUACCGGAUAGGACCACGGUCUGCAUGGAUUGUGGUGGAAAGCUUUUGCGGUGUGGGAUGGGCCCGCGGCCUAUCAGCUUGUUGGUGGGGUGAUGGCCUACCAAGGCGACGACGGGUAGCCGGCCUGAGAGGGGUGUCCGGCCACACUGGGACUGAGAUACGGCCCCAGACUCCUACGGGAGGCAGCAGUGGGGAAUAUUGCACAAUGGGCGCAAGCCUGAUGCAGCGACGCCGCGUGGGGGAUGACGGCCUUCGGGUUGUAAACCUCUUUCAGCAGGGACGAAGGGUGACUGACGGUACCUGUAGAAGAAGCACCGGCCAACUACGUGCCAGCAGCCGCGGUAAUACGUAGGGUGCGAGCGUUGUCCGGAAUUACUGGGCGUAAAGAGCUCGUAGGUGGUUUGUCGCGUUGUUCGUGAAAACUCACAGCUUAACUGUGGGCGUGCGGGCGAUACGGGCAGACUGGAGUACUGCAGGGGGAG